UUUCAGAAUUGCAUGUGCUGCCGCCGUUGAAGCUGUACGUGGUUGAAGCAAAACAGCUAUACUCCUUUGGAUGUUGAAAAGAUUGAAUUCCUCGCAAAGUUAAGUCAUCCGAAAUUAUUGAUUUGGAGUACUUUCUGUGACAAGAGUUUGAUUGCUCCAAAAGAAUUGAGAGAAACACUAUCAUCCCCUUUAUAUAAUGUCAAGCAAUUGAAGUUAAAGUUAUUCUGCCAUCCACGUACGAGAUAUGAGAUCAUCGAACUUGUGGAUUCCUUGUUAUGAAUUUC
Molecule: long non-coding RNA, 284 nt
Organism: Alnus glutinosa
Lineage: Eukaryota; Viridiplantae; Streptophyta; Magnoliopsida; Fagales; Betulaceae
Exons: 3
Source: RefSeq, a predicted model, not a curated record